This 1399-nucleotide ribosomal RNA is filed under the name Enterococcus sp. Its description in RNAcentral is "bacterial SSU rRNA". It matches the Rfam family "Bacterial small subunit ribosomal RNA", at positions 63 to 1433 of the family's 1533-position model. The record is from RNAcentral. Lineage: Bacteria; Bacillati; Bacillota; Bacilli; Lactobacillales; Enterococcaceae.
CAAUUGAUUGAUGGUGCUUGCACCUGAUUGAUUUUGGUCGCCAACGAGUGGCGGACGGGUGAGUAACACGUAGGUAACCUGCCCAGAAGCGGGGGACAACAUUUGGAAACAGAUGCUAAUACCGCAUAACAGCGUUGUUCGCAUGAACAACGCUUAAAAGAUGGCUUCUCGCUAUCACUUCUGGAUGGACCUGCGGUGCAUUAGCUUGUUGGUGGGGUAACGGCCUACCAAGGCGAUGAUGCAUAGCCGAGUUGAGAGACUGAUCGGCCACAAUGGGACUGAGACACGGCCCAUACUCCUACGGGAGGCAGCAGUAGGGAAUCUUCCACAAUGGGCGCAAGCCUGAUGGAGCAACACCGCGUGAGUGAAGAAGGGUUUCGGCUCGUAAAGCUCUGUUGUUAAAGAAGAACACGUAUGAGAGUAACUGUUCAUACGUUGACGGUAUUUAACCAGAAAGUCACGGCUAACUACGUGCCAGCAGCCGCGGUAAUACGUAGGUGGCAAGCGUUAUCCGGAUUUAUUGGGCGUAAAGAGAGUGCAGGCGGUUUUCUAAGUCUGAUGUGAAAGCCUUCGGCUUAACCGGAGAAGUGCAUCGGAAACUGGAUAACUUGAGUGCAGAAGAGGGUAGUGGAACUCCAUGUGUAGCGGUGGAAUGCGUAGAUAUAUGGAAGAACACCAGUGGCGAAGGCGGCUACCUGGUCUGCAACUGACGCUGAGACUCGAAAGCAUGGGUAGCGAACAGGAUUAGAUACCCUGGUAGUCCAUGCCGUAAACGAUGAGUGCUAGGUGUUGGAGGGUUUCCGCCCUUCAGUGCCGGAGCUAACGCAUUAAGCACUCCGCCUGGGGAGUACGACCGCAAGGUUGAAACUCAAAGGAAUUGACGGGGGCCCGCACAAGCGGUGGAGCAUGUGGUUUAAUUCGAAGCUACGCGAAGAACCUUACCAGGUCUUGACAUCUUGCGCCAACCCUAGAGAUAGGGCGUUUCCUUCGGGAACGCAAUGACAGGUGGUGCAUGGUCGUCGUCAGCUCGUGUCGUGAGAUGUUGGGUUAAGUCCCGCAACGAGCGCAACCCUUGUUACUAGUUGCCAGCAUUAAGUUGGGCACUCUAGUGAGACUGCCGGUGACAAACCGGAGGAAGGUGGGGACGACGUCAGAUCAUCAUGCCCCUUAUGACCUGGGCUACACACGUGCUACAAUGGACGGUACAACGAGUCGCGAACUCGCGAGGGCAAGCAAAUCUCUUAAAACCGUUCUCAGUUCGGACUGCAGGCUGCAACUCGCCUGCACGAAGUCGGAAUCGCUAGUAAUCGCGGAUCAGCAUGCCGCGGUGAAUACGUUCCCGGGCCUUGUACACACCGCCCGUCACACCAUGAGAGUUUGUAACACCCAAAGUCGGUGG